CCAACGGUUGUUUUGACAACCACUAACAAACUAGUAUUGAAUUUGU
Caenorhabditis elegans is the source of this 46-nucleotide non-coding RNA. The record is from Rfam. Lineage: Eukaryota; Metazoa; Nematoda; Chromadorea; Rhabditida; Rhabditidae.